RNAcentral lists this transfer RNA (72 nucleotides) under Camelus bactrianus (Bactrian camel). It matches the Rfam family "tRNA". From Rfam's summary of the family: Transfer RNA (tRNA) molecules are approximately 80 nucleotides in length. Lineage: Eukaryota; Metazoa; Chordata; Mammalia; Artiodactyla; Camelidae. The record is from Rfam by way of RNAcentral. RNAcentral also lists the same sequence under 3 other names.
GGGGUAAUAUCUCAGUGGUAGAGUGCAUGCUUAGCAUGCACAAGGUCCUGGGUUAAAUCUCCAGUACCUCCA